GUGCUCACUUGGACAGCACAUACACUAAAAUUAGAAAGAUAUAUAGAAGAUUAGCACAGCCCCUGUUUAGGAAUGAGAAGCAAAUUUGAAAAUCAGUGUGAAGAUUC
RNAcentral lists this small nuclear RNA (107 nucleotides) under Chinchilla lanigera (long-tailed chinchilla). Lineage: Eukaryota; Metazoa; Chordata; Mammalia; Rodentia; Chinchillidae. The record is from RNAcentral.